Molecule: ribosomal RNA, 253 nt
Filed under: uncultured bacterium
Lineage: Bacteria
Description: partial 16S ribosomal RNA
Rfam family: Bacterial small subunit ribosomal RNA
Source: RNAcentral
UACGGGGGGUGCGAGCGUUGUCCGGAAUCACUGGGCGUAAAGGGCGCGUAGGUGGUUUGAUAAGGGUGUGGUGAAAGUCCGGGGCUCAACCCCGGAUCUGCCGUGCCGACUGUCAAACUCGAGGGCUGUAGAGGCAGACGGAAUUCCAGGUGUAGCGGUGAAAUGCGUAGAUAUCUGGAGGAACACCGGUGGCGAAGGCGGCAUUCUGGACCGACAUUGACGCUGAGGAGCGAAAGCCAGGGGAGCAAACGGG